Molecule: ribosomal RNA, 564 nt
Filed under: Streptomyces sp. 331B09
Lineage: Bacteria; Bacillati; Actinomycetota; Actinomycetes; Kitasatosporales; Streptomycetaceae
Description: bacterial SSU rRNA
Rfam family: Bacterial small subunit ribosomal RNA
Source: RNAcentral
UAGUGGCGAACGGGUGAGUAACACGUGGGCAAUCUGCCCUUCACUCUGGGACAAGCCCUGGAAACGGGGUCUAAUACCGGAUAACACUUUCUCCUGCAUGGGGGAGGGUUGAAAGCUCCGGCGGUGAAGGAUGAGCCCGCGGCCUAUCAGCUUGUUGGUGGGGUGAUGGCCUACCAAGGCGACGACGGGUAGCCGGCCUGAGAGGGCGACCGGCCACACUGGGACUGAGACACGGCCCAGACUCCUACGGGAGGCAGCAGUGGGGAAUAUUGCACAAUGGGCGGAAGCCUGAUGCAGCGACGCCGCGUGAGGGAUGACGGCCUUCGGGUUGUAAACCUCUUUCAGCAGGGAAGAAGCGUGAGUGACGGUACCUGCAGAAGAAGCGCCGGCUAACUACGUGCCAGCAGCCGCGGUAAUACGUAGGGCGCAAGCGUUGUCCGGAAUUAUUGGGCGUAAAGAGCUCGUAGGCGGCUUGUCGCGUCGGAUGUGAAAGCCCGGGGCUCAACCCCGGGUCUGCAUUCGAUACGGGCAGGCUGGAGUGUGGUAGGGGAGAUCGGAAUUCCU